RNAcentral lists this long non-coding RNA (1103 nucleotides) under Hordeum vulgare. RNAcentral's name for it is "long non-coding RNA (HVUL_LNC019088)". The record is from RNAcentral. Lineage: Eukaryota; Viridiplantae; Streptophyta; Magnoliopsida; Poales; Poaceae.
UAGGUACAUAUUUCCAGAACUCUUAUAUUUAUAUAAAAGAACUGUUAAUUACAUCUCCGUGGAGAAAACCCCUGAUUAAGAAUUCCAACAUAUCUAUUACAUGAGAUUGCAACACAUUCCUAUUACAAUAUGCUACCAGAAAAAUCCUCCUUGCGGUCGACAUUGAACUCCGGCCUGGGAACUUGAAGUUUAUCUGCGUAGAUUAUCUUCGAUACCGUUAUGUUUGAUGGUUUUCCAUAUAUCUCUUUAUCUUUGAGGCAUAGGAUACAUCCAUGCAUUUUUAAUAUUUAACGCUCAUAUCAUGGAAUUCAUUUUAGAGAACCCCUGCUUGGAGCAUAAUUGUUGUUUCUAUUUGGUUGAUGGUUUAUGCCAUAAUUGUGUACUUGUUAUAUGGAUGUUGUAUGCCAUGGAAUUCGUAUGAAAGAACCCAUGUCAUAGCGUAGCUUUAUUAUUUUAUGGCUCAUGCCGCGUAAUUCGUAUGGAAGAAUCCAUGCCAUAAGAUUUUUUUUAUAUUUUUUUUUUAUCAACUUGUGACUUAUGCCGUGGAAUUCGUAUGAAGGAACCCACGACGUAGGAUACUAUGUAUUUUUUUAUUUUACGACUUAUGUCAUGGAAUUCAUAUGCAAAGAACCCAUGACAUAGCACAAUUUGUAUUUCCUUUGGUUUUAUAACUUAUGCAAUGGAAUUCAUAUGAGAAGAACCCAUGACAUAGCGUAAUUGUGUAUUGGGUCAAGGCUUAGUCAUUUAAUGGCUCGCGUCAUGGAAUUCGUGAGAAAGAACCCAUGCACGAAACGUAUUUUCAUGUCAUGGAAUUCAAAUGUAAGGAACCCAUGCGUAGAGCAUUUUAUGAUUUUUUCCACACAUGGCAUGUCCACGUGAAGAAAGAAAAAAAAAUGUUCCUUGAUCCGAACCAAAAGGCCAAACCUAAUGACAUGAUUUGGUGAAUUUAUGUUCCUUGAUCCGAACCAAGCGGCCGAACCUAAGGACAUGGUUUGGUACAUUUUAUGUUCCUUGAUCCGAACCGACCGGACGAACCUAAGGACAUGAUUUGGUGGAUUUUAUGUUCCUUGACCCGAACCAAACGGCCGAACCUAAGGAUAUGA